CACAUUUCAAAAUUGUCACUUUAAUUGGAAAAACUCUUUAACCCACAACAAUCCAUAACAUACACAUAUUAUCCUUUGGGGGUGGGGGUAAAAAGGGGUGUGACAUACAUCUCCUAUCAAUUUCUUUCAUCACACUCUGAGGCAAGAUAAAGACUGUCUCCCAAAAACUGUAUAUAGAAAAAAUUAAACAGCAUUCUAAACGUGUAGUCGACCUGCAUAGGAAAGCUUCCUUGAGUAACCAGUGUUGAUUUUUCUUGUAAUCUUAUCCACCGGAAUCUUGCAAUCUACCUUGUUCCAUUUCUUUGGGGAAAGGGGUAGUCCAAGAUAUCUCAUGGGAAUUAACGUUGUGGAAAACCUAUUUGCUGUAGAAGAGACUCUCUGGUGGGUUCAUCCACCCCUUCCAUGAAGAGACUAGACUUCUCCAUAUUGACUACAAGCCCUGAAGCCUGGCUGAAGUGAAUCACAGCUUCCAUGAUUCCUUUAACUUAUUUUGUGUCUGCUUUGCAAAAAAUCAUAAGGUCAUCUGCAAACACCAAAUGUGUAAGCUGAUGGUGCUUACCCAUAGGGUGGAAUCUAAAAUUGGUAAAGCACUCAUAGAUUUCAGUAGUCUUAUCAAAUACUCCAUAACCAACACAAAUAGGAGGGGUAAAAUAGGGUCUUCUUGCCUCAAUCCCCCUCUACCAGCAAAGAAACCAUGACAUUCUUCAUUUACCUUUAGUGUAAAGUGAGGGGAGGUCACACAAGUCAUAACCAGUUGCACAAACUUAGGAGAAAACUGUAUCCUAGUAAGGCCUCUUGCAAGAACUCCCAACUGACCAUGUCAUAGGCCUUCCUAAGCUCUAUUUUCAUUAAACAUCUAGGAGAGAUCUUUCUAUUAUAAUGCCUUAGUAAAUCAUGGCAAAUUAGAACAUUGUGGACCAGUGACCUUCCCUAUAGAAACGUUGUUUGGUUUUCUGCCACUAUAACACUAAUGGCCUUUCUCAACCUGACACACAUCAUCUUUGAGAUAAUUUUAUACAAUAUAUUGCAGCAUGAGAUUGGUCGGAACUGUGAGGCAUAUUCAGGAUCAUCAACCUUAGGAAUCAGAGCAAUGUUAGUAGUGUUCAGCUGUUUUAAUAGCAUUUCAUUCUGGAAAAAUUGCAAAAUGUCCUUUGAUAUGUCUUCCCCCACAAUGCUCCAGGCAGACUUGAAGAAACCACUACUAAAUCCAUCUAGUCCCGGGCUCUUAUUGCUAUCAAUCUGGAAGAGAGCUAUCUUGACAUCCUUACCAGUAUAAGGCCUCAAUAAUUCUGUUUGAUGAUCCUCAGAUAAUACCGGUCCUUGGUGUAGGAAACUAAGGAAUGCUUUAACUCUAGAAUUAGCUUUCUACCCAAGAAGAUCCUCAUAGUACUUGACAAAUAAAUUGUCUUGACAUCCUUCAGUUGUGUAGUACAUUACUUUAGCUUUUUAUGCUUAAUGACAGAAUAGAAAUACUUUGAGUUGUCAUCCCCAAGCUUGAUCCAUGUAUCCUUGGCCCUUUGCUGAAGAAACAUCUCAUUUAUGUAAGAGCUUUGCUUGAAUUUCAGUCUCUUAAUCACUUGAAACAUCAAAUAUCCUUCUACUUGGACAUCCCAUCCAGCUUUUACAACAUCAAGGAACUGGGGGUGUUGAGCCCAUGCAUUAUAAACUUUGAUGUUGUUGCAGGGACACUACCAUUGUCUCAAAUAGAUCGCAAUAUGUUGAUUUCAUAUUGCUAUACGCAGAAUCCGGAUUUACAAUGAUGGUGCCAAUCAAAGGUGAUAAUAGCGAUAGUGCAUGUGUAUUCUUGAAUCCAUUGACUUGGAAGCUAUGGUUAACAAGCUUCUAUUCUUUUCUUUUCUUUGGCUUUGUCAUUUGGCUACUUUAACAUAGAGUAAAUGGAGACUUCAGAGGACCUCCUUGUCACCAAGCUGGCAUGAUCUUUUGGUUCUCCUUCUCAACUAUGGUCUUUGCACAAAGUAAUUAAUUUCCUUGUCCUCCGAUCCUUAAUUUGUAUUCUCUCAUAACAUUUUAUAUCAUACUAAUUCCUUUUUAAUUUGUUCUAUCGUUAAUACUACCUUUUAUAUUUAAAAGUUCUUUAACUUUAAACUUCUCAUUUUACCUCCAGUGCAAUGUUCUUACAGUCAUAUAAAUGUCAUGGUAUAUAUGUUUAAAACCACAAGUUGGCAUUUUUUAUGUGUCAAAAAUCUUUUUUCUUUCUUAAACGUCAUACCCAUUCAAACACCGUCAUUUAAAUUGAGGACAAGCUGUUGAAGGCGAGACUUAGAUGGUUCGGGCAUAUGAGGAGGAGAGGCACAGAUGCUCUCGUGAGGAGUUGCGAGAGGUUGGCUUUGGAGGGCCUGAGGAGAGGUUGAGACAGACCAAAGAAGUAUUGGAGAGAGGUGAUUAGGCAGGAUAUGACGUUGCCCCAACUUAGGGAAGACUUGAUCAUAGAUUAUAUUGGAAGGUAUGGAGUUUGAGAAUAAAGGUAAAGAGUUAGGAUAAGUAGCCAAGCGUUUUCCUAUCAUUAACAGUAGCUCUAGUACAUGACUUAGUGUCCUUUGUGUAUUGUCGUAUCCCUUGACUUCUGUUGUUACUUGUUGUUGCUUUCAUUUCGGCUUUCUGAUUGCAGUACCUAUUGUUAGUUUUGUGUUUUUGCUUUGAUUUUCUGAUUGGUGUGCUUGUUGUUGCCUUUCUUGAACCGAAGGUCUACUGAAAAUAGCCUUUCUGCCUUCUUGAAGGUAGGUGCAAGGUGUGUGUACACUCUGCCCUCCCCAGACCCCACUUGUGCGAUUACACUAGAGGAGAAGAUAGUAAGCAAUUUGGCUAGGCUUGUGGUAGCUAUCUGGUUUCUAGCUAGUACUGCUAAUAUUGACGUCAAUCUACAUAACAAGUCUGACAUCAAUGCUAACAUUUGAAAAACUCCAGCCAUUUGCUAGAGAUGUAAAAGAACUUCUGAAGAACAAGGAGUACGCGGGCUACCUACAGGGCUCUUUUGUACCGGGACUUGUAAGAAAAAUGAACUUUGAUGAAGACAGGCUUAAAGGAUAUAGAAGUCCUGAGGAAUAUGUUGAUUUACACUCUAAAGGCAGUGCGAAUGGUGUUGUUGCUGUUGUUUUUGAUGAGAUUCGUUUAUGUGAAGCUUGUCCUUUCAAAUUAUUGCUCGAAAUUUACCACCGUUGGACCUACAUAUAAGGCUGAUGGAUUUGGCAUUGUAAGUAACUCCUCUUUUUCUCAAUAUAUUUUGUUGUUGUUAGUACAAGA
Molecule: non-coding RNA, 3261 nt
Organism: Nicotiana tabacum (common tobacco)
Lineage: Eukaryota; Viridiplantae; Streptophyta; Magnoliopsida; Solanales; Solanaceae
Source: RefSeq, a predicted model, not a curated record